RNAcentral lists this ribosomal RNA (292 nucleotides) under uncultured bacterium. RNAcentral's name for it is "partial 16S ribosomal RNA". It matches the Rfam family "Bacterial small subunit ribosomal RNA", at positions 505 to 796 of the family's 1533-position model. The record is from RNAcentral.
GUGCCAGCAGCCGCGGUAAGACGAAGGGGGCUAGCGUUGUUCGGAAUUACUGGGCGUAAAGCGCGUGCAGGCGGUUGCCUAAGUCGGGUGUGAAAGCCUUGAGCUCAACUCAAGAAUUGCGCUCGAUACUGGGUGACUAGAGGACCGGAGAGGAUAGUGGAAUUCCCAGUGUAGUGGUGAAAUACGUAGAGAUUGGGAAGAACACCAGUGGCGAAGGCGGCUAUCUGGACGGUUUCUGACGCUAAGACGCGAAAGCGUGGGGAGCAAACAGGAUUAGAAACCCGCGUAGUCC